RNAcentral lists this non-coding RNA (148 nucleotides) under Gorilla gorilla gorilla (western lowland gorilla). Lineage: Eukaryota; Metazoa; Chordata; Mammalia; Primates; Hominidae. The record is from Rfam by way of RNAcentral.
GCCGGGCAUGUUGGCACACGCCUGUAAUCCCAGCUACUCGGGAGGCUGAGGCAGGAGAAUCACUUGAACCCAGGAGGCCGAGAUUUCAGUGAGCGGAGAUCGCGCCACUGCACCCCAGCCUGGGUGACAGAGUGAGACUCUAUCUCAA